RNAcentral lists this ribosomal RNA (1224 nucleotides) under Triticum aestivum (bread wheat). RNAcentral describes it as "partial small subunit ribosomal RNA". Lineage: Eukaryota; Viridiplantae; Streptophyta; Magnoliopsida; Poales; Poaceae. The record is from RNAcentral.
GCGAAAUCAGGCGUCGUCGGCAUGCAGUCGUAUUGGGCACCGCUCUUCCCUAACACUGCCGUGGAAAAGCAGGGGAUGCAUUCCUUGUACAGCGAUUAUGCACAUAUAUUUGACUUGUCAUCGGAGAAUACAAGCCUGGGAAGCUACAUCGCUCCUAAAGUGGGGCACCUGGCUGUCUUGUUGAAACGUUCUGCCCUCCUUACUGGAAGCGCAUUUUUUACCAUUGCCAUCCGCUACAGAGCUCUGCUGGACAGAUGGAUACUGCAAAAAUGCGCCGUCUCCCAGGGUGCACCUGUUCAAUCAACCAUGAUGUUGCGAUCCUGUUGGCAGUGUAGAUCCCUGCCUUUGUUUGUUGGCAUUGGUGUUCUAAUGGCAAGGCUCUGUAGUUACAUUACCAUUCAGAGUCCUAACAAUAAUCGGCAAGUCAUCCGCGGCAUUGAAGCUAACCUUCAGGGCGAUUCGAUCAUCGAGAAGAACGAGUUCUGCAAUCAGCAAUCCGUCCUUCCAAGUUUGCUUGGCAGCAAGCAUGACUAUGUCCGUUUGCUGCUUCAUUUUAUUUGUAGCACUGCCAUUUUUAAGGCGUAUACGGUGCCAAAGGUGACCAGCUUCAAGGAGAGGAGCAUAGAAAGGAACUAUGAUUUCAGUGCACUUCGGAGCAUCGUGGCAAGAAAUGGACAUUAUCUGACUUUUAUUGGAGCGUUGGUGACUCUGCAGAUCUUUCUACAGAUGAACAGAGUGAACACUACCACUUCACUGCUGCCAAUGCUGAUUCAAACAAUAAGUUCCAGGAGCAAAGCUGCGGUUUUCAGCAAGAUGGUGAUAAUAUUGGUGAACUCGUGCAGCAUUCUUGGAUCCGCUUUCACGACAAAACACCACGGUCGUGCGGCAACGUUAACCGUCAGCAUUGUUCUAAUGGUAUUUUGCCAGAUGGCGAUUCCAUUGAUCGUCGAGUUCCACAUCGGGUUUGGCGGCGCAAGCCGAAUGCCGAGAGGGUACACCGCUGCCAUGUUCUUGCUCACCUGCGUCGUGUCCUGCGGCCUCAGUUGGUCAUGGGGCUCUAUGUUCUGGACCUUUCCCGGCAAGAAGGCCCACUCGGCAGGUCAGCUCUUAGGCAUGGCUCUGAAUUUGGCCCUAUGCUACGCCCAGAUGCAGUACUUCCUGAUGAUGCUGUGGCGGCUGAAGAACGCCAUCCUUGCCUACUAUGCCAUGUGGAUUUGGUCGUGA